AGUGAACGCUGGCGGUAGGCCUAACACAUGCAAGUCGAACGGCAGCACAGUAAGAGCUUGCUCUUACGGGUGGCGAGUGGCGGACGGGUGAGGAAUACAUCGGAAUCUACUUUUUCGUGGGGGAUAACGUAGGGAAACUUACUCUAAUACCGCAUACGACCUACGGGUGAAAGCAGUGGAUCUUCGGACCUUGCGCGAUUGCAUGAGCCGAUGUCGGAUUAGCUAGUUGGCGGGGUAAAGGCCCACCAAGGCGGCGAUCCGUAGCUGGUCUGAGAGGAUGAUCAGCCACACUGGAACUGAGACACGGUCCAGACGACUACGAGAGGCAGCAGUGGGGAAUAUUGGACAAUGGGCGAAAGCCUGAUACAGCCAUACCGCGUGGGUGAAGAAGGCCUUCGGGUUGUAAAGCCCUUUUGUUGGGAAAGAAAAGCAGCAGGUUAAUACGCCGCUGUUCUGACGGUACCGAAAGAAUAAGCACCGGCUAACUUCGUG
RNAcentral lists this ribosomal RNA (492 nucleotides) under uncultured bacterium. RNAcentral describes it as "partial 16S ribosomal RNA". It matches the Rfam family "Bacterial small subunit ribosomal RNA", at positions 29 to 507 of the family's 1533-position model. The record is from RNAcentral.